Myxocyprinus asiaticus (Chinese sucker) is the source of this 571-nucleotide long non-coding RNA. RefSeq lists it as uncharacterized. Lineage: Eukaryota; Metazoa; Chordata; Actinopteri; Cypriniformes; Catostomidae. The transcript has 3 exons. The record is from RefSeq and is a predicted model, not a curated record.
CUUUCAUUGUAUGGAAGAGAGCAGAUCAGACAUUCUGUUUAAAUUCUCCUUUAAUGUUCCAUGGAAGAAAGUCAGGUUUGGAACAAUAUGAGGCAGAAGAAAGAAAGUCAUACAGGUCAUCGGAUGACAUGAGAUGCUCAUCUCCAGACCAAGUGACAGCUCUGUUCCUCAGUGGCCAUUAACAGCAUUGCUGGACUGACACUGCAACGGCUGCUAUACGCCACCCGGCACAAUGUGACCACAAAGGGAUCGGUGUCACUUUCUUGGCACUCAAACUACUUUGAAGAAACCAUUUCCUUGGCAAAGCAGAAUCAGCCUUGAAAAAUGCAACACGGCUGAGUCAUACUUCCUCCUGGAUAUGACAGCACUUCCUCCACAAACUGAUCUGUCCUCCCUCCCCUCCCCACAUUUAAAAAGUUAAAGGGACGGAACAUGGAAGAAGUGAGAAGGCAAUGAGUCCACUUUUGUCUCAAAUGUAAGACGAAUGAUGACAAACCUAGUAGGGCAAGUCACUUAUCAUCACUUAAAAUAACUGACUCAGACCGCAUGUGUUGUAUAUGGGCUUGGUACG